Camellia sinensis is the source of this 4002-nucleotide RNA transcript. It is a transcript of the gene named RNA recognition motif (RRM)-containing protein, with no coding region annotated. NCBI's taxonomy places the organism in Eukaryota, Viridiplantae, Streptophyta, Magnoliopsida, Ericales, Theaceae. The record is from RefSeq and is a predicted model, not a curated record.
UAAUCUCCUCACUUCGCCGUCAAGCGAAGGUUCUCUUCCUCUCAACAGUCUCUCUUCAAACAAAGGUUUUUCUCAAUCUCCUAACAAUUCAAUUGGAAUGCUAUCUUCAUGGAAUCUUUGAUUGAUUGAUUGCUAUCUUCAUGGAAUCUUUGAUUCAUUGAUUUCUUUCUUUCUCGAUUUCUAUCAGAGUUCAAGGCUAUAGGCUAUACAUAUAUAUAUACACUUCUAGGGUUUCUUCAAAUUAGGGUUUUCAUGGCUGAUCGUAACUUGGCUGUGGUGAAACCCAUAUGGAUGAAGCAAGCCGAGGAGGCCAAGCUCAAGAGCGAGGCAGAGAAAGCUGCGGCUGCGAAAGCCGCAUUCGAAGCCACAUUCAAGGACGUUGAGAAGACCCGAAGAGAGGAUUUUUCGGAUAGUGAAGGAGAAGAGGAAGCCGAGGACUUGGCUAACAAACCAAUAGGGCCGGUAGACCCCGCCAAGUGCACCGCCGCGGGGACCGGGAUAGCAGGCGGCACCGCGUGCUCGCCAUCGUCUUUCGUGGUGGUUACGAAGGAUUCCGAUGGCCGGAAAGUCCCGCAUGGUGGCGCGCAAAUUAAUGUGACGGUUUUGGCCGGAGCGGGGGUUGGGGUAUCGGAUCAGGAUGGGAUUGUGAAAGAUAUGGGAGAUGGGUCUUAUACAGUGACAUAUGUGGUUCCUAAAAGAGGGAAUUAUAUGGUGAAUGUGGAGUGUAAUGGGAAGCCCAUUAUGGGUAGCCCUUUUCCAGUGUUCUUCAGUCAAGGAACUACUACUGGCGGGCUGCUCGGUCUGGCCCCAGCGGCUACAUUUCCGAAUUUAGUUAACCAGACCAUGCCCAAUAUGCCAAAUUAUUCAGGUUCUUUUUCUGGAUCAUUCCCAGGAUUGCUUGGAAUGAUUCCGGGUAUCAUUACUGGGGCUUCAGGGGGAGUAGUAUUGCCUGGAAUUGGAGCAUCUCUUGGUGAAGUUUGCCAAGAGUAUCUUAAUGGGCGCUGUGUGAAGACUGAUUGUAAAUUCAAUCACCCACCUCACAAUUUGCUGAUGACUGCAUUAGCUGCCACCACCACCAUGGGAACUCUGAGUCAAGUGCCUAUGGCGCCUUCUGCAGCUGCAAUGGCUGCUGCUCAGGCAAUUGUUGCUGCUCAAGCCCUUCAAGCUCAUGCUGCUCAGGCGCAAGCGCAAGCCCAGUCUGCCAAACACUCUUCUGGAUCAGCUGACAAAGAUGGGAAGGCCGAUUCCCUUAAAAAAACUCUACAAGUUAGCAACCUCAGCCCACUUCUCACAGUGGACCAGUUGAAACAACUUUUUAGUUUUUGUGGCACAGUUGUUGAGUGUAGUAUCACUGAUUCAAAGCAUUUUGCUUACAUUGAAUAUUCAAAACCAGAAGAAGCAACUGCUGCUUUGGCAUUGAACAAUAUGGAUGUUGGGGGUCGGCCAUUGAAUGUUGAAAUGGCCAAAUCACUUCCUCCAAAGCCACCUCUCUUGAAUUCGCCACUUGCUUCAUCUUCAUUGCCCUUGGUGAUGCAGCAAGCAGUGGCUGUGCAACAGAUGCAAUUUCAGCAGGCUCUGUUAAUGCAACAAACAAUGACUGCACAGCAAGCAGCUAACCGAGCUGCAACCAUGAAGACUGCAACAGAACUUGCAGCAGCUAGAGCUGCAGAAAUAAGUAAAAAGCUGAAAGCUGAUGGACCUGAAAAUGAAGUUAUGGAAACAGAUAAAAAGUCUAGGUCACCACCACCCACUACUCGUGCAAGGUCCAAGUCCAGAUCAAGGUCCAAGUCAAAGUCUCCUGUCAGUUAUCAGAGGAGGAGGAGGUCUCGUUCUUUCUCUCCUCGAUCCCGUCAUUCAAGAUAUUAUAGGUCCAGAUCACCAUUGAGAUCACGCCAUUACUCCAGGUAUGAAAAUGAAUGGCGGUCCUAUAGGGACAGUAGGGAUGAUAGUGACAGAAGUAGAAGGCGGGAUUCAGGAAGAUCACAUGAUCAUCAUUCUUAUGCUUCGAGGAGAAACAGGAGUCGGAGUGUGAGUCCUUUAACAAGAAAACCAUAUCAAGAUGAUUCUGACUCGCCAAAACAUCGUCAAGAAAGUUCAAAGCGUAGGACAAAGAAGUCUUCUCGUGCUAGUUCGAGAUCACCAGGACAUCAUAGAGGAAGCAGGUCACCCCCGAUAAGUGAUGAUGACAGAAAAUCAAAACCCAGAAAGCGCUCUAGGUCAAAAUCUCUGGAAGUUAGGCAUCACACAAACGAUAAAAAGGAUGGAAACAGAGAAGAAAAGUCAAAACAUCGUGACAGAAGGCGGUCCAGGUCAGUGUCAGCAGAAGGCAAGCGUCACGGAGGAAGAAGGUUGUCCCCAAAAGUUUUGGAUGAAAACAAAUCAAAACACAGAAGGCGUUCUAGGUCAAAAUCUCCAGAAGAUAAGCAUCACUCCAGAGAUAAAGUGGAGAGAGGCAGAGAUGAGAAGUCAAAGGUUCGUGACAGAAGGCGGUCCAGGUCGAUAUCUGCAGAAGGUAAGCGCCACAAAGGAAGUAGGAUGUCUCAAAGACAUUCGGAUGAACACAAGUCGAGACACAGAGGGCGCUCAAGGUCAAAAUCUGCUGAAAAUAUGCUUUUUUCCGAUGAUAAUGGAAUAGACAAAACUAAAGAUGAAAAGACAAAACAUAAUGAUGAAAGACCUGCCAAAUCUGAUGAUUCCUUUCAGGAACCUAACAAGAAGUCAAAGGGUUUGGUGAACUUGGACGAUGAUGGGACAUCUGUCUCUUCUCCAGUAACUUACAAAAAAAUCUUCUCUGUUAUACACAAUGACAACGUAGAAGGUGGAAGUGAUGGGGAUAAGCAUGAAAGCUCUAGAGGGGAAGACAGUGAUUAUGAGAAGACUGAGACUGCCAUACAGGAUUAACAUUUUACUGAAGAAAUAUGAACUGAACUGUGGAGAUAGAAUUGGAUAAAGAGUUUCCAUUUGUGGGUGAUGGUGACAGGAGUUAUUAUGUCUAUGAUGGGAACUGGGUCCAAUUUUAGAAGCAUGUGGAAAUUCGUCUUGAAUAUGUUAUCCAAGAUGGUUUCAGAGGAUUGCAAUCCUAGUUCCUGCAGAACGAGCAGUCCCUCAGAAGAUUGGUUGAUGUUUCUUUUGGUGCUCAGAAUUUCCCUGCUGGGUUUUUUGGUUCAUCAUUGAAUAAUUUAUUUUUUCUUUUUCUUUCUUUCUUUCUUUCUUUUUUUUUUCCUUUUUUUUUUUUUUUUUUGGUUUUUCCCGUCCUUCCUCCUUUCUUUUGCAGGUCCAGUUGGAACAUAUUGAUUAUAAUGUCUGAGCUGAUCUCGUAUGGUCAAAUGCUUUUGAGAUGUCUGCUGCUCUCCUGUCUAGGAUCAACUGUGCAAUGUUUUUAUCAAACUUCUUUAGCUGCUUGAUGUUUUACAUGCUGGUUUCUUUUGGCGCAUUAUCAGAUCAAUAGGGCAUGGUUGUUUCUUUCUGAUUUGUAUAUGAAGGGAAGCUUCUCUUAAGGCCGACUGCAACCAGCUGUUGUGUUGCCGAGAUGAAUAUCAUCACUAUUACACCAUGUUGAGUAUGAGCGGAUUGACUAAACUUAAAAAGUUGUCUUUUAACAGGUGUGCUGUGAUAUGGUGGAUUGAGAGCUGAUAUUGUGGUUCCCGACAUGGGUUAAUGCAUACAGCAAAAAGUGGAUGUCACUCCCAUUUUGUUUUUGUUUUUUUCCCCUUUUUUUCCCCUUUUUUUCUUUUGGUUUUCUUUUUUCUCUCUUUUCCUUUUGUUUCUUUUUCUGUUCCUCUACUCCCCCACCUUUUCUUUAGGUUUUCUGUACAAAGAAUAGACAAGGGAAACAGACACCAAUCUGACUGAUAGAUUUGAAAGUCACAGGCAAGAAUUGCUUUCUUUCACAUGAUCUGAUGUAGUUGCUUGAACUAUUGGUUGUUUUGUGGUGAUCUUCUCAAAUACCUUUGAUUGUGAGGUCAGAAGAUACUUUUAGUAAUGGUAAGAUGUUUGGUGUAA